UGGGGAAUUUUGGACAAUGGGGGCAACCCUGAUCCAGCCAUCCCGCGUGUGCGAUGAAGGCCUUCGGGUUGUAAAGCACUUUUGGCAGGGAAGAAACAGCCUGGGAUAAUACUCCGGGCGACCGACGGUACCUGCAGAAUAAGCACCGGCUAACUACGUGCCAGCAGCCGCGGUAAUACGUAGGGUGCAAGCGUUAAUCGGAAUUACUGGGCGUAAAGCGUGCGCAGGCGGUUCGGAAAGAAAGGUGUGAAUCCCAGGGCUUAACCUUGGAACUGCACUUUAACUACCGAGCUAGAGUACGUCAGAGGGGGGUAGAAUUCCACGUGUAGCAGUGAAAUGCGUAGAGAUGUGGAGGAAUACCGAUGGCGAAGGCAGCCCCCUGGGAUGAUACUGACGCUCAUGCACGAAAGCGUGGGGAGCAAACAGGAUUAGAUACCCUGGUAGUCCACGCCCUAAACGAUGUCAACUAGCUGUUGGGGUUUAUUAACCUUAGUAGCGCAGCUAACGCGUGAAGUUGACCGCCUGGGGAGUACGGUCGCAAGAUUAAAACUCAAAGGGGAUUGACGGGGGUCAUAGCUGUUUUCCUG
RNAcentral lists this ribosomal RNA (587 nucleotides) under uncultured bacterium. RNAcentral describes it as "partial 16S ribosomal RNA". It matches the Rfam family "Bacterial small subunit ribosomal RNA", at positions 355 to 1363 of the family's 1533-position model. The record is from RNAcentral.